CAUUAAUGCUUUCGAAAUCUCUCUCGGUACUCAUGAAGAAAUUUGCCUCACAAGACAAAAUACGACUGAGGAGAAAUGUGCUCUUAAGCCAGACCUCAUGGAAACAGAAGUUUUCUAUCAGAAAUGAAAAAUGAGAUCACAAAAUUGAAAGACGAAGUAAUCCAAAUAAACGAAAAACUGAACAAAACGGCAAUUUGUAAAG
Paramuricea clavata is the source of this 202-nucleotide non-coding RNA. The record is from the annotation of a GenBank genome assembly. Lineage: Eukaryota; Metazoa; Cnidaria; Anthozoa; Malacalcyonacea; Plexauridae.